Molecule: unclassified non-coding RNA, 1441 nt
Filed under: Hevea brasiliensis (rubber tree)
Lineage: Eukaryota; Viridiplantae; Streptophyta; Magnoliopsida; Malpighiales; Euphorbiaceae
Source: RNAcentral
CUCUUUCCCACAUACAAAUUUGGCUGAUCAGUCCUAUAUAAACCCAUCAAGAUCCAAACUCAUUUUCCAUUCACAAAACUAUCAAAUCCAAAGCUCAGAAGCAAUAUUAUUAUGGCAUCAACUUUCUCUUACAAAUUCCUUUCUUUGUUUCUUUUUCUUUCCAUUUCUUCACCUUUCUCAUAUGCAGCCUCUCAUCAUCAUGACCAACUUCACUUGUCUUCAGCUUCCAACUUGCCCAAACUGCAAGCAGAAAAGAUGACAAGAGCCUUGAACUUAUUCCCUAAGCACUCCAUCAACAUGCCAACCCAUGUUGAUUCUUUAGUAACUGGUCCUCAGAUUGUUGAGAAACCAUUAAAGUUGCAUCUUCUUGGUGAUCCGGAGAUUUCUGUUCAGGAUUUGGGUCACCACGCUGGAUACUAUAAGCUUCCCCAUGCAAAAGAUGCAAGGUUGUUCUACUUUUUUUUCGAAUCACGGAACAGCAAGGAUGAUCCUGUCGUCAUAUGGUUGACAGGAGGGCCUGGAUGCAGCAGUGAAUUGGCAUUGUUUUAUGAAAAUGGUCCUUUCCAUCUUUCAAAGAACAAGUCUCUUAUAUGGAAUGACUAUGGUUGGGAUAAGGCAUCGAACCUGAUAUACGUUGAUCAGCCUAUUGGAACUGGAUUCAGUUACACAACAGAUGCUAAUGACAUUCGCCACGACGAAAAUGGUGUUAGCAAUGACUUGUAUGAUUUCUUGCAGGCUUUCUUCAAAGAGCAUCCCCAGUUUGUCAAAAAUGAUUUUUACAUAACUGGAGAAUCUUAUGCUGGGCACUACAUCCCUGCUUUUGCUGCCCGGGUCCACCAAGGAAACAAAAACAAAGAAGGGAUUCAGAUAAACCUCAAGGGAUUUGCCAUUGGCAAUGGUCUUACUGAUCCUGGUAUUCAGUACAAAGCAUACACAGAUUAUGCACUGGACAAGAAGUUAAUUCAAAAAUAUGAUUAUGACAGAAUUAACAAGUUGGUUCCAGAAUGUGAGCAGGCAAUCAAAGCUUGUGGCACAGAUGGUGAAUCUGCUUGUGAAACUGCAUAUGUCAAUUGCAAUAACAUAUUCUCUGAGAUCCUGGACGUUGUUGGUAAUAUAAAUGUAAGGAAGCAAUUCAACUAUUCUUCAAACAAAUAAAAGCUGAGAAGGCAUGUUGUUUGUGAAGAAAAAUGCAUUAUAUAUUUUCAUGGGAAUUCAUAGUAUCUUUGGUCUGCAGUACUAUGAUAUCCGAAAGGAAUGCGUGGGUCAACUAUGCUAUGAUUUUUCAGGCAUGGACACAUUCCUGAACGAGAAAGUAGUUAGAGAUGCUCUAGGCGUAGGAGACCUAAGCUUUGUUUCCUGCAGUUCUGAGGUUUAUGAGGCCAUGCUUUCGGACUGGAUGAGGAAUCUUGAAGCGGGGAUUCCUGCUCUUCUUGAGGAUGGA